UAAAAACCCCGACUUCGGAAGGGGUGUAUUUAUUAGAUACAAAACCAAUGCCCUUCGGGGCUCUUUGGUGAUUCAUGAUAACUAUACGAAUCGCACGGCCUUGCGCCGGCGAUGGUUCAUUCAAAUUUCUUCCCUAUCAACUUUCGAUGUUUGGGUAUUGGCCAGACAUGGUUGCAACGGGUAACGGAGGGUUAGGGCUCGACCCUGGAGAAGGAGCCUGAGAAACGGCUACUACAUCCAAGGAAGGCAGCAGGCGCGCAAAUUACCCAGUCCCGACUCGGGGAGGUAGUGACAAUAAAUACUGAUACAGGGCCCUUUCGGGCCUUGUAAUUGGAAUGAGUACAAUUUAAAUCCCUUAACGAGGAACAAUUGGAGGGCAAGUCUGGUGCCAGCAGCCGCGGUAAUUCCAGCUCCAAUAGCGUAUAUUAAAGUUGUUGUGGUUAAAAAGCUCGUAGUUGAACCUUGGGCCUGGCUGGCCGGUCCGCCUCACCGCGUGCACUGGUCCGGCCGGGCCUUUCCCUCUGUGGAACCCCAUACCCUUCACUGGGCGUGGCGGGGAAACAGGACAUUUACUUU
RNAcentral lists this ribosomal RNA (576 nucleotides) under uncultured eukaryote. RNAcentral's name for it is "SSU rRNA". It matches the Rfam family "Eukaryotic small subunit ribosomal RNA", at positions 174 to 758 of the family's 1831-position model. The record is from RNAcentral.